UGGAAACAGCGCCAUCUGCCCGCUGGUGAAUUGAAUGCAACACUGCUUCCCAAAGAGAGUUUGAGGUUUAUAGCUGCCAUCCGCUCAUGCUGUUUUAUCAUCCAACCAACCCAAACUAUGACCUACAGGAGGAUGAUCUGAACGAUGACGUACUAACAGUCAUCAUGGAUACACACUGUUUGGACUCUCAUUCUGACGGCACCCAUUCACAUCCAUUGGUGAACAAGUGAUGGAAUGCUACAUUCUCCAAAUUUGAAGAAGAAACAAACUCAUCUACAUCUCGGAUGGCCUGAGGCCCACUGGACUUAAUUAAUGAAGGGUUUGAGGAAGAUGAAGUUCAAAGCAGCGACGUCACGCCACUAUCACACAGAAUCUCAGGAGCCCGUUUGAUGUGUAUGCCGGCUCUUCACCUCGUCUCCCGCCGGACUCUAUUUUUGUUCUCAGAAACUCAUCCGCCGCUCCGAGUGCUCCAGCUGCGGUCCUGUGGGAAGGAUCCUUUUGAUUCCUCAUGAUCCCUUCAACCUCCUCCGCAGGCGGUCUGUAAACUCCGUUCAUGUCGCUGCCUCCUCGUGACAAAUGGCAAAGCAUCGGGCCGCAGGAAAGCGCAGAUGAAAGCCGCAGGCCUCGAAAAGCGGUCAAUAUCAGACCUCUGAAUAUUCUUCAAACAGCAUCUGAUCUCAUAUUCAGCAGGUGAAUAUAGAGGAACGGUCCUGAUAGUGUUCGAAAAUGCAUCUGGAGAUUAUUUUUUAUAUUUAAUAAAGCUAAAUUGAAAAAUUUAAUGCAUAAAAUUCAUAGAAUUCAACAUGUUUUGAAAUGUAAGUUGACAGUGACAGCAGAGUGAGAGAAAAUGAUGUGAUAAAUUCACAAAUGGCACUUUUUAAAAGACAUUUUGCCAUAAAAUUAUUAUUUAUACUUGUAUUCACAUUUGAAUAUAUGCGCAAGA
Molecule: long non-coding RNA, 943 nt
Organism: Labeo rohita (rohu)
Lineage: Eukaryota; Metazoa; Chordata; Actinopteri; Cypriniformes; Cyprinidae
Exons: 4
Source: RefSeq, a predicted model, not a curated record